Rattus norvegicus (Norway rat) is the source of this 116-nucleotide small nuclear RNA. Ensembl annotates it as U2 spliceosomal RNA. NCBI's taxonomy places the organism in Eukaryota, Metazoa, Chordata, Mammalia, Rodentia, Muridae. The record is from Ensembl.
AUCGCUUCUCGGCCUUUUGGCUAAGAUCGAGUGUAGUAUAUUUACCUAAUAUUACUGUACAAUACAUGCAAGUGUAUGUGUAUACAUACAUAUAUAUAUAUAUACAUGUAACAAUA